UGGGGAAUAUUGGACAAUGGGCGAAAGCCUGAUCCAGCAAUGCCGCGUGUGUGAAGAAGGCCUUCGGGUUGUAAAGCACUUUCAGUAGUGAAGAAGGAUGUAUAGUUAAUACCUGUAUGUUUUGACGUUAGCUACAGAAGAAGCACCGGCUAACUCUGUGCCAGCAGCCGCGGUAAUACAGAGGGUGCAAGCGUUAAUCGGAAUUACUGGGCGUAAAGGGUGUGUAGGUGGUUGGAUAAGUUAGAUGUGAAAUCCCCGGGCUUAACCUGGGAACUGCGUUUAAAACUGUUUAACUAGAGUGCUGUAGAGGAUAGUGGAAUUUCCAGUGUAGCGGUGAAAUGCGUAGAUAUUGGAAGGAACACCAGUGGCGAAGGCGACUAUCUGGACAGACACUGACACUGAGACACGAAAGCAUGGGGAGCAAACAGG
This 429-nucleotide ribosomal RNA is filed under the name uncultured bacterium. RNAcentral's name for it is "bacterial SSU rRNA". It matches the Rfam family "Bacterial small subunit ribosomal RNA", at positions 355 to 776 of the family's 1533-position model. The record is from RNAcentral.